UUGACCGAAACCAAAGGAGGAGGUAUGCUACUGUUAAUAGUAAUAAUGAAAAUCUAAUUUUCCGGUUAAA
This 70-nucleotide transfer RNA is filed under the name Cryptocephalus cynarae. RNAcentral's name for it is "tRNA-Asn". The record is from RNAcentral. Lineage: Eukaryota; Metazoa; Arthropoda; Insecta; Coleoptera; Chrysomelidae.